UGGGGAAUCUUGCACAAUGCGCGAAAGCGUGAUGCAGCAACGCCGCGUGGGGGAAGAAGGCCUUCGGGUUGUAAACCCCUUUCAGUUGGGACGAAGCUUCGUCGGUUAAUAGCCGGCUGGAGUGACGGUACCUUCAGAAGAAGCCCCGGCUAACUACGUGCCAGCAGCCGCGGUAAUACGUAGGGGGCAAGCGUUGUCCGGAAUCAUUGGGCGUAAAGCGCGUGUAGGCGGUUCGGUAAGUCUGCUGUGAAAGUCCAGGGCUCAACCCUGGGAUGCCGGUGGAUACUGUCGGACUAGAGUACGGAAGAGGCGAGUGGAAUUCCCGGUGUAGCGGUGAAAUGCGCAGAUAUCGGGAGGAACACCAAUUGCGAAGGCAGCUCGCUGGGACGUUACUGACGCUGAGACGCGAAAGCGUGGGGAGCAAACAGG
This 429-nucleotide ribosomal RNA is filed under the name uncultured bacterium. RNAcentral describes it as "bacterial SSU rRNA". It matches the Rfam family "Bacterial small subunit ribosomal RNA", at positions 355 to 776 of the family's 1533-position model. The record is from RNAcentral.